GGAACAACUGUGCUGCUCUGUACAGGCGGCCAGACCCCUGCUUCGGAUGGGGGACAGCGGCUGGCGAAUGUUAAGCCUCAGGCUCCCCUCUGAGUCCGAGCUGACAGAGAGAAAUGCAGAGAGGAGGGAAGACAGACAGGGGGAGAGAAAGACAGACACCUGCAGACCUGCUUCACCGCCUGUCAAGCGACCCACCUGCAGGUGGGGAGCCGGGGACUUGAACCGGGAUCCUCACACCAGUCCUUGCACUGCCACGUGCGCUUAACCCGCUGCGCUACUGCCCGACUCCCUCUGGGAGGGAUUUCUACAAAAACUACCUGGCUCUCCUGCCACACACAAACUUGACAAAAGAACCAACCCGCUUGGGCGGGGAGGAAGCCUCAGGCACCCAAUGACUAUGGUUGCUCACAGUACCAGAUUAAAAGUAUAAAUGUCUCACAAAA
Long non-coding RNA from Erinaceus europaeus (western European hedgehog), 443 nucleotides. RefSeq lists it as uncharacterized. The record is from RefSeq and is a predicted model, not a curated record. NCBI's taxonomy places the organism in Eukaryota, Metazoa, Chordata, Mammalia, Eulipotyphla, Erinaceidae. The transcript is spliced from 2 exons.